UACGUAGGGCGCGAGCGUUGUCCGGAAUUAUUGGGCGUAAAGAGCUCGUAGGCGGCUCGUUGCGUCGGCUGUGAAAACCCGCAGCUCAACUGUGGGCUUGCAGCUGAUACGGGCGGGCUGGGAUUCGGUAGGGGAGACUGGAAUUCCUGGUGUAGCGGUGAAAUGCGCAGAUAUCAGGAGGAACACCGGUGGCGAAGGCGGAUCUCUGGGCCUUACCUGACGCUCAGGUGCGAAAGCUAGGGGAGCGAACAGG
RNAcentral lists this ribosomal RNA (253 nucleotides) under uncultured bacterium. Its description in RNAcentral is "partial 16S ribosomal RNA". It matches the Rfam family "Bacterial small subunit ribosomal RNA", at positions 524 to 776 of the family's 1533-position model. The record is from RNAcentral.